Molecule: ribosomal RNA, 104 nt
Filed under: uncultured bacterium
Lineage: Bacteria
Description: partial 16S ribosomal RNA
Rfam family: Bacterial small subunit ribosomal RNA
Source: RNAcentral
CCUUGUACACACCGCCCGUCACACCAUGGGAGUUGGUUCUACCCGAAGACGCUGCGCUAACCGCAAGGGGGCAGGCGGCCACGGUAGGGUCAGCGACUGGGGUG